UGAGUGCUCAAACUACACGUCUAGUG
This 26-nucleotide non-coding RNA is filed under the name Homo sapiens (human). The record is from RNAcentral. Lineage: Eukaryota; Metazoa; Chordata; Mammalia; Primates; Hominidae.